UUUUUCAGUUUUUUUUGUUCCUGAGAAUUUUUAAACAAAAACUGUAAAAAUAUAUCCCUAAUUUUACUCUCACUAUCACCUCCACGAUCAAGAUUUAUAACUGAAUUAAUCUCCUAUUUAACACCAAAUUUUGUUUCUUCCUGUUCACUAUGAUUACGAUUUUCUCUGUUUUCCUCUCCAAUUUUUUUCUUCUUCUGGUUGCCAUAUAAACCUACAGUUACAAUUCUCAGAAAGCCACCUGCUUGAAUUUGAGAAGAUGAUCUGAAUCACAAUAAACUGGAGAAAAUUGUGGAUGGACUUGAUUUAAUAGUGGUGGAUGACAAGAAUGGGUUUGUGAUUCAUCAAGAGGAUGAUGAUCGAUGAUGAUAACUAGAGAGCUCAAACAAUAAUGGCGUUGGUUAGAUCUGAUGGAAGUAAUAUUCAAUAGAAAAGGGACACAAAUAGAAGAGACAUAUAUAUGAUAGCACUGUUAAUUGUGAAUAAUGAACAUGUCCACAUAUAUAUUCCCAACUUUGCAUUAUCGUAGUCUCUGUAAUGAUA
Molecule: long non-coding RNA, 540 nt
Organism: Camelina sativa (false flax)
Lineage: Eukaryota; Viridiplantae; Streptophyta; Magnoliopsida; Brassicales; Brassicaceae
Source: RefSeq, a predicted model, not a curated record